CCUACGGGAGGCAGCAGUGAGGAAUAUUGGUCAAUGGACGAGAGUCUGAACCAGCCAAGUAGCGUGAAGGAUGACUGCCCUAUGGGUUGUAAACUUCUUUUAUAUGGGAAUAAAUUGUUCCAUGUGUGGGAUUUUGUAUGUACCAUAUGAAUAAGGAUCGGCUAACUCCGUGCCAGCAGCCGCGGUAAUACGGAGGAUCCGAGCGUUAUCCGGAUUUAUUGGGUUUAAAGGGAGCGUAGGUGGAUUGUUAAGUCAGUUGUGAAAGUUUGCGGCUCAACCGUAAAAUUGCAGUUGAAACUGGCAGUCUAGAGUACAGUAGAGGUGGGCGGAAUUCGUGGUGUAGCGGUAAAAUGCUUAGAUAUCACGAAGAAUUCCGAUUGCGAAGGCAGUUCACUAGACUGCAACUGACGCUGAGGCUCGAAAGUGUGGGUAGCAAACAGGAUUAGAUACCCGUGUAGUC
RNAcentral lists this ribosomal RNA (460 nucleotides) under uncultured bacterium. Its description in RNAcentral is "partial 16S ribosomal RNA". It matches the Rfam family "Bacterial small subunit ribosomal RNA", at positions 338 to 795 of the family's 1533-position model. The record is from RNAcentral.